UCAAUAAGAAGAAAUAUUACUGUUUUUGAAAACAUACCUAAGUGGAUUGAUUCUACCUUCUUUUUUAUGUUGUGGCCUUCGAUUGUUCCUCCAAGUUCCGCCUAUGUAGAAAUUCUAGAGCUGAGUCCAGUUCUCAAAAGGUCAUCUGGAUGAGAAUGAAAGCAACAGAGAUAUUGUGUUUUUUAUAAAUUGAAGGUUUGUGGCAACCUUACAUUGAGCAAGUCAAUCGGCACCAUUUUACCAUCCAGCGCAGAUGGUGGAAAUAUUUUUUAAUUGAGGCAUCAGAAAGCUUAAAGAAUUUGAGGCAAUUGUCCUUGAGAUUUUGGAACUUACAAAUUGGCAUGAGAAUUGAUGAAUGAAGAAAACAUGAAUGUGUGAAAAAAGAACAUAUCUGCAAGGAUAUGUAUCAGCUAAGAGAAAUAGGAAAUAAUAUCAUCAGCAGAGGGUUGUGAUGGUGUUGGAAAUUUGAGGACAUGGAAUAAUUAUCUAAGUGGGAGACUGAAUGGACCAUGAAGACAGAAUGAUUAAUGGGCAAGGGUCCUCUUGAGGUUGGAGAUUAUGGAGUAAA
Molecule: long non-coding RNA, 568 nt
Organism: Myotis davidii
Lineage: Eukaryota; Metazoa; Chordata; Mammalia; Chiroptera; Vespertilionidae
Exons: 5
Source: RefSeq, a predicted model, not a curated record